ACGAACGCUGGCGGCGUGCUUAACACAUGCAAGUCGAACGGUGAAGGGAUCAGCUUGCUGGUUCUGGAUGAGUGGCGAACGGGUGAGUAACACGUGAGGAACCUGCCCCCUUCUUCUGGAUAACCGCAUGAAAGUGUGGCUAAUACGGGAUAUUCUGCGCCUGCUGCAUGGUGGGUGUGGGAAAGAUAUUGUUUCGGUGGGGGAUGGGCUCGCGGCCUAUCAGCUUGUUGGUGGGGUGAUGGCCUACCAAGGCGGUGACGGGUAGCCGGCCUGAGAGGGUGGACGGUCACACUGGGACUGAGACACGGCCCAGACUCCUACGGGAGGCAGCAGUGGGGAAUAUUGCACAAUGGGCGCAAGCCUGAUGCAGCGACGCCGCGUGAGGGAUGGAGGCCUUCGGGUUGUGAACCUCUUUCGCCAGUGAAGCAGGCCUGUCCCUUGUGGGUGGGUUGACGGUAGCUGGAUAAGAAGCGCCGGCUAACUACGUG
This 488-nucleotide ribosomal RNA is filed under the name uncultured bacterium. RNAcentral's name for it is "partial 16S ribosomal RNA". It matches the Rfam family "Bacterial small subunit ribosomal RNA", at positions 29 to 507 of the family's 1533-position model. The record is from RNAcentral.